RNAcentral lists this transfer-messenger RNA (357 nucleotides) under Planctomycetota bacterium. Its description in RNAcentral is "Planctomycetes bacterium transfer-messenger RNA". It matches the Rfam family "transfer-messenger RNA". From Rfam's summary of the family: Bacterial tmRNA, also known as 10Sa RNA or SsrA, is named for its dual tRNA and mRNA-like properties. Its role is to liberate the mRNA from a stalled ribosome. To accomplish this part of the tmRNA is used as a reading frame that ends in a translation stop signal. The record is from RNAcentral. Lineage: Bacteria; Pseudomonadati; Planctomycetota.
GGGGGCGAAACGGCGUUCGACCGGGUUGGACCGGAGCGGAUGGCUGCACGGACGGGACGCCGGCUGCCCCGUGAAAAACGCCGGUGACACAAUAAGCGACAACGCUUAUCGUCUCGCUGCCUAAUGAAGGCAGCCCUCGGCUCGGUUGUUGCCUCCGCGACCGAUGCUGGGGUGCGGUAGGAGGCUGCGCGAACGGUUUGUUCCCGACGACCGUUCGCUAAGAUGCAGUCGGGAUAGCCGUGACGGAAUCCUGUCCGUCGGAGUCCGACACGGCGAAGUUGAAAAGACGGACUAACCGUGUAGACGCCAUCCGAUUCGGAACCCGGGACGGGGGUUCGACUCCCCCCGCCUCCAUUU